CAGCUUCUUCCUUCCUUCUUUCGCAGUAUCUUCUUCCGGAACAUCACACCUCUUUAUUCAGCGUAUUAUAAACUCUAUUCGACCGCUACCAUCCAGAAUUUUCUCAAUUGCAUAUCACCGGUUGUCAGGUCGCCUACAAGGAUGAAGGGAGCGAAACUAGCCGUGGUUUUCAGCGUGUGUUUGGCCUUCUUGGUCCUGACUGAGGCGGCUCGGAGCAAGAGAGACUCCAGCAGCCAGAACAGCUUCAGGAGGGCGGCCACGAGCUUAUACCAAACCUUCAGCAGCAUCUUCGGAGAGGACAACAUGAGGGCUGUGCACAAGUUCUUCUCAAAAACGACAGAGGGGUUUGUUCAUGGAGUCGAUUUAUUAGUGGACGCCUUGUGGAAGCUGUGGGUGGAUCUGCUCGAUGUAAUGGGCAUCGACUCCUCGAAUCUGACGCACUACUUCAGCCCAUCGUCUGUGUCCAGUUCUCCUCCUCGUGCACUCCUCCUGGUGGCAGCCUUGCUGUUGGCGUACUGGUUCCUGUCCUUGUUCCUGAGCGGUUUCUUUUACGUCCUCCACACAGUGUUUGGCCGUUUCUUCUGGCUGGCCCGCGUGGCCCUUUUUGCCCUCUCCUGCCUGUACAUUCUGCAGAAAUUCGAGGGUGACCCGGAGAAGGCAGUGCUGCCACUGUGCUUCAUAAUGGCCAUGUACUUCAUGACAGGACCGGUGGGAGCAUACUGGAGGAAAGGGGCAGGAUCUGGAAAUCUGGAGGAUAAGAUCGACAACCUGGAUACCCAGAUCCGUCUCCUUAACAUCCGCUUGAGCAGAGUGAUUGAAAACCUAGAGAAAUGAGAGUCAGAGGUGUGGUUUGUGAGAUGGCAUAAGAAGAAAAAAAAUCCUUUUUUUUUUUUGUUUUUCAGGAUGUCCCAACAUUUUAGUCAGGCAAGAAUUGUAUGUGACCGAUUUCCUAGAUGGUAUGUUGAAAUGAUUAGAUCCACCCUAUUGUUGUGUGUAAUGUAUUAUAAGUGUCCACUUCUAAAGUAACUGCCCAUCUUUGAGCAAAUAUCAGGAUUUUUUGUGGGUCUGUGUGUGUCUGCAAGCCUUGAGUUGAGUGUGUUAGUCGUUUGUGCAGUGUUAAGCCCUUUUUUCCAUUAACUGUGUUAGGGCACUUUCUAUAAGUGUGUGUUAUUUAUCAGUCAUUAAGGCGAUGCAAUUGAGAGUUAGUUCACUUGAAUCACUCAAAGUGUGAGUAAAAAUCAGUAUCACUGCAUUUUUAUUUUACUUUUUCACAUCUCCCUUGUCUCUUCUUGAGGUCACCAGAGGUUACUCUGAGUUCAGGAUCGAUCAGGGAUAGAGAUGUAUGUGGAAAUCGCUUUCAGAGAGCAGCUAGUCAUCAGAAGCGUGAGGAUAUUAGACCGGUGUCUCUGUCCACCUUCAGUCGAGAGAGAGAGAGAGAGAGAGAGAGAGAGAGUACUAUUACAUUUACAAUAAUGUAGUACUAGGAAACAGAUAAUGGUCUGUAACACACUCCCAUUAGAUGCCAUUAUAUAUGAUUGAAGUGUGAAUGUGUGUAAUCUUGUUUUGCUCUAGAGGAGAGAAAUCCUGCAGGUUUGUGUGAGGAAACGAUGUAAAACCAUGGUCAGAUUAUUUCCAUGUCAACUACUCCUUUAGAUUGUCUUGCUUUAGGAUAGAUUUGCACAAUGGAAACAGAUGCAGUAUGAUAUAGUUCAGAAGGUUUUGGGUCAAUAUGACAAUAAUUCAAAUUGCAAAUGUACAAAAUGUAGUAUUUUGAACUAAUUGGCGUUCCUGGAAAACUCUUCAGUUAGUGUGUUUUAAAGGUCUGUAGCCGGUUCAGGUCUAUGUUCAUGAUCUCAGUGUGCACUUCAGCUCGUGUGUCAGGUAUUUGAAGAAGGAUCUCAAUAAAAGGUGACCCUAAACUCAGAAAGGGCCAGAAUGAGACGGUUCUGUUCAAAGCGUCAUGCUAUUAUCAGAUGAACUCCUGAGACUGAACCUUGGCUUUCGUUGACUGCUCAUAAGGCAAUGCAUCCAUUAAAAUCUGAUUAUGUUUGUUUGUGCUCCAGCUUCUUGCAUGUGCAAUGUGAUGUGCACUUGAUCAAGAAUAAUUAAUCCUGAGAACAUA
Molecule: RNA transcript, 2122 nt
Organism: Carassius auratus (goldfish)
Lineage: Eukaryota; Metazoa; Chordata; Actinopteri; Cypriniformes; Cyprinidae
Gene name: BRI3-binding protein-like
Exons: 4
Source: RefSeq, a predicted model, not a curated record